GUUAACGCUGGCGGUAUGUAUAAUACAUGCAAGUCGAGUGGGUUUAGACCCACGGCGAACGGGUGAGUAACACGUUGGAACCUGCCCCGGACUCAGGGAUAACUCGCAGAAAUGCGAGCUAAUACCGGAUGGUCCCGCAAGGGUAAAGCUUUUGCGGUCCGGGAGGGGCCUGCGGCCUAUCAGCUAGUUGGUGAGGUAACGGCCCACCAAGGCUAUGACGGGUAGUUGGUCUGAGAGGAUGAUCAACCACAAUGGGACUGAGACACGGCCCAUACUCCUACGGGAGGCAGCAGUAAAGAAUCUUCCGCAAUGGGCGAAAGCCUGACGGAGCAAUACCGCGUGAACGAUGAAGGUCGUAAGAUUGUAAAGUUCUUUUCUGGGGGAAUAAUUCUGAAGGUACCCCAGGAAUAAGCACCGGCUAACUCUGU
RNAcentral lists this ribosomal RNA (428 nucleotides) under uncultured bacterium. RNAcentral describes it as "bacterial SSU rRNA". It matches the Rfam family "Bacterial small subunit ribosomal RNA", at positions 29 to 506 of the family's 1533-position model. The record is from RNAcentral.